GGCCCCUUCGUCUAGCGGUUAGGACGUGAGAUUCUCAAUCUCAAAAUAGGAGUUCGAUUCUCCUAGGGGCUA
RNAcentral lists this transfer RNA (72 nucleotides) under Treponema sp. RNAcentral describes it as "tRNA-Glu". It matches the Rfam family "tRNA". From Rfam's summary of the family: Transfer RNA (tRNA) molecules are approximately 80 nucleotides in length. Their secondary structure includes four short double-helical elements and three loops (D, anti-codon, and T loops). Further hydrogen bonds mediate the characteristic L-shaped molecular structure. tRNAs have two regions of fundamental functional importance: the anti-codon, which is responsible for specific mRNA codon recognition, and the 3' end, to which the tRNAs corresponding amino acid is attached (by aminoacyl-tRNA synthetases). tRNAs cope with the degeneracy of the genetic code in two manners: having more than one tRNA (with a specific anti-codon) for a particular amino acid; and 'wobble' base-pairing, i.e. permitting non-standard base-pairing at the 3rd anti-codon position. The record is from RNAcentral. Lineage: Bacteria; Pseudomonadati; Spirochaetota; Spirochaetia; Treponematales; Treponemataceae.